This 219-nucleotide unclassified non-coding RNA is filed under the name air metagenome. RNAcentral's name for it is "partial contains small subunit ribosomal RNA, internal transcribed spacer 1, and 5.8S ribosomal RNA". The stretch from base 1 to 46 matches the Rfam family "Eukaryotic small subunit ribosomal RNA", at positions 1786 to 1831 of the family's 1831-position model. The record is from RNAcentral.
AAGUCGUAACAAGGUCUCCGUAGGUGAACCUGCGGAGGGAUCAUUACCGAGUGAGGGAGCAAUCCCGACCUCCAACCCUUUGUGAACCCAUCCUGUUGCUUCGGGGGCGACCCUGUCGUGCGAACGACAUUCCCCCCGGAGGUCAUCAAACACUGCAUCCUUACGUCGGAGUAAAAAGUUAAUUGAAUAAAACUUUCAACAACGGAUCUCUUGGUUCUG